RNAcentral lists this long non-coding RNA (821 nucleotides) under Nicotiana benthamiana. RNAcentral describes it as "long non-coding RNA (NBEN_LNC031821)". Lineage: Eukaryota; Viridiplantae; Streptophyta; Magnoliopsida; Solanales; Solanaceae. The record is from RNAcentral.
GUUUUGCUCUCUUCUUCUUCCUCUGCUUUGCUCUAUUUCUUUUCCCGAUCCCAUUAGAAUAAAAAUGACGGUUCCUAUAUUUUGGAGAAAACAAUACGUGCACAAUUAUUUUUUCUAUAAAAAUUUAAGCCUGCCAAACGCCACUUAUAAGAAUAAUAGUGCUUCUUAGAUGUAUAAUAUACCUUAGCUGUAUUUUGAAUGUAUAUAAUCAUUCUUAGUUUCUAUUUGGUUUACAGCAAAAUCAGUGAAUAAAAAGAUUUGAUUUGGUUGCUUAGGUUCAACACGUCAAGAUUUGGUUGCUUAGGUUCUAACACUUGUUACUUUUGUCUUUUUGGGCUAGGUUGGAGUUCUGGCGGCUAUGGCCUUGGAGAUGGGUCGCUAGCCGCCGGCGAUGAAGUCCAGAGGCUGUGUGGUGGCUGGAAAUAUCUUAGAUUACCCUGGUUUGUUGCGGUGGCGCUGGAAAUGAGGAGAUGGGAUGCAGCUGGUUUCUUAGGGUUGAAAAAGAAGAUGAGGAUCAUUGGUUUUUUAGAGAGGAUGAGGCCGUCAGUUUGUCUCGCCGAAUUCCGACAGUAAAGAGAUGGAGACUGCCUCAGAUUUGUUUUGUUUCUUAGGGAGAAAAUGGAAAUUAAAAAGAAAAUAAAAAUAAAAAAUCAAAUUUUGGGGUCUUCACGCGCCUAUAUUGGGUGAUAUUCAAUAUAUGUUCCAACUCAGCAAGAAGUGCUUAAAUGGAAUAAGUUUCGGGUGUAUAAGUGUUCAAUAGGAACAACCUUUAAUUUUAGGUGUCUAAAUAAAAAAUCGUGCCAACUUUAAUUGUCUCUAUA